This 121-nucleotide ribosomal RNA is filed under the name Vibrio vulnificus. RNAcentral also lists the same sequence under 1 other name. The record is from RNAcentral. Lineage: Bacteria; Pseudomonadati; Pseudomonadota; Gammaproteobacteria; Vibrionales; Vibrionaceae.
UUGCUUGGCGACCAUAGCGUUUUGGACCCACCUGAAUCCAUUCCGAACUCAGAAGUGAAACGAAAUAGCGUCGAUGGUAGUGUGGGGUUUCCCCAUGUGAGAGUAGAACAUCGCCAGGCUU